ACGAACGCUGGCGGCGUGCUUCACCCAUGCAAGUCGUACGGUAAGGCCCUUUCGGGGGUACACGAGUGGCGAACGGGUGAGUAACACGUGAGUAACCUGCCCACAACUUUGGGAUAACGCUAGGAAACUGGUGCUAAUACUGGAUAUGUGCUCCUGCUGCAUGGUGGGGGUUGGAAAGCUCCGGCGGUUGUGGAUGGACUCGCGGCCUAUCAGCUUGUUGGUGGGGUAGUGGCCUACCAAGGCGGCGACGGGUAGCCGGCCUGAGAGGGUGACCGGCCACAGUGGGACUGAGAUACGGCCCAGACUCCUACGGGAGGCAGCAGUGGGGAAUAUUGCACAAUGGGCGCAAGCCUGAUGCAGCAACGCCGCGUGCGGGAUGACGGCCUUCGGGUUGUAAACCGCUUUCAGCAGGGACGAAGCUUUUUGUGACGGUACCUGCAGAAGAAGCACCGGCUAACUACGUG
RNAcentral lists this ribosomal RNA (464 nucleotides) under uncultured bacterium. RNAcentral's name for it is "partial 16S ribosomal RNA". It matches the Rfam family "Bacterial small subunit ribosomal RNA", at positions 29 to 507 of the family's 1533-position model. The record is from RNAcentral.